GACGAACGCUGGCGGCGUGCCUAAUACAUGCAAGUAGAACGCUGAAGCUUGGUGCUUGCACCGAGCGGAUGAGUUGCGAACGGGUGAGUAACGCGUAGGUAACCUGCCUGGUAGCGGGGGAUAACUAUUGGAAACGAUAGCUAAUACCGCAUAAGAGUAGAUGUUGCAUGACAUUUGCUUAAAAGGUGCAAUUGCAUCACUACCAGAUGGACCUGCGUUGUAUUAGCUAGUUGGUGAGGUAACGGCUCACCAAGGCAACGAUACAUAGCCGACCUGAGAGGGUGAUCGGCCACACUGGGACUGAGACACGGCCCAGACUCCUACGGGAGGCAGCAGUGGGGAAUCUUCGGCAAUGGACGGAAGUCUGACCGAGCAACGCCGCGUGAGUGAAGAAGGUUUUCGGAUCGUAAAGCUCUGUUGUAAGAGAAGAACGAGUGUGAGAGUGGAAAGUUCACACUGUGACGGUAUCUUACCAGAAAGGGACGGCUAACUACGUG
RNAcentral lists this ribosomal RNA (497 nucleotides) under uncultured bacterium. RNAcentral describes it as "partial 16S ribosomal RNA". It matches the Rfam family "Bacterial small subunit ribosomal RNA", at positions 28 to 507 of the family's 1533-position model. The record is from RNAcentral.